AAUAUUUCACAAUGGGGGAAACCCUGAUGCAGCGACGCCGCGUGAGUGAAGAAGANUUNNGGUAUNUNAAGCACUAUCAGCAGNNNNNAAUAUGACGGUCACUGACUAAGAAGACACUGCUUACUACGUGCCAGCAGCCGCGGUAAUACGUAGGGGGCAAGCGUUAUCCGGAUUUACUGUGUGUAAAGGGCGCGUAGGUGGCGAGUCAAGUCAGAUGUGAAAGCCCGGGGCUCAACCCCGGGAUUGCAUUUGAAACUGGUUUGCUAGAGUGCAGGAGAGGUAAGUGGAAUUCCUAGUGUAGCGGUGAAAUGCGUAGAUAUUAGGAGGAACACCAGUGGCGAAGGCGGCUUACUGGACUGUAACUGACACUGAGGCUCGAAAGCGUGGGGAGCAAACA
RNAcentral lists this ribosomal RNA (397 nucleotides) under uncultured bacterium. RNAcentral's name for it is "partial 16S ribosomal RNA". It matches the Rfam family "Bacterial small subunit ribosomal RNA", at positions 360 to 774 of the family's 1533-position model. The record is from RNAcentral.